This 510-nucleotide ribosomal RNA is filed under the name uncultured bacterium. Its description in RNAcentral is "partial 16S ribosomal RNA". It matches the Rfam family "Bacterial small subunit ribosomal RNA", at positions 28 to 507 of the family's 1533-position model. The record is from RNAcentral.
GACGAACGCUGGCGGCGUGCUUAACACAUGCAAGUCGAACGAAGAGCGAUGGAAGCUUGCUUCUAUCACUCUUAGUGGCGAACGGGUGAGUAACGCGUAAUCAACCUGCCCUUCAGAGGGGGACAACAGUUGGAAACGACUGCUAAUACCGCAUACGAUCUAAUCUCGGCAUCGAGGAUAGAUGAAAGGUGGCCUCUACAUGUAAGCUAUCACUGAAGGAGGGGAUUGCGUCUGAUUAGCUAGUUGGAGGGGUAACGGCCCACCAAGGCGAUGAUCAGUAGCCGGUCUGAGAGGAUGGACGGCCACAUUGGGACUGGGACACGGCCCAGACUCCUACGGGAGGCAGCAGUGGGGAAUCUUCCGCAAUGGACGAAAGUCUGACGGAGCAACGCCGCGUGAGUGAUGACGGCCUUCGGGUUGUAAAGCUCUGUUAAUCGGGGCGAAAGGCCUUCUUGCGAAUAGUGAGAAGGAUUGACGGUACCGGAAUAGAAAGCCACGGCUAACUACGUG